AUUGAACGCUGGCGGCAUGCCUUACACAUGCAAGUCGAACGGCAGCACGGGAGCAAUCCUGGUGGCGAGUGGCGAACGGGUGAGUAAUAUAUCGGAACGUGCCCAGUCGUGGGGAUAACGUAGCGAAAGCUACGCUAAUACCGCAUACGAUCUACGGAUGAAAGCGGGGGAUCGCAAGACCUCGCGCGAUUGGAGCGGCCGAUAUCAGAUUAGGUAGUUGGUGAGGUAAAGGCUCACCAAGCCGACGAUCUGUAGCUGGUCUGAGAGGACGACCAGCCACACUGGGACUGAGACACGGCCCAGACUCCUACGGGAGGCAGCAGUGGGAAUUUUGGACAAUGGGCGCAAGCCUGAUCCAGCAAUGCCGCGUGCAGGAUGAAGGCCUUCGGUUGUAACGUAGCUUUGUUACGGUAACG
This 416-nucleotide ribosomal RNA is filed under the name uncultured bacterium. Its description in RNAcentral is "bacterial SSU rRNA". It matches the Rfam family "Bacterial small subunit ribosomal RNA", at positions 30 to 448 of the family's 1533-position model. The record is from RNAcentral.